Molecule: ribosomal RNA, 2204 nt
Filed under: human gut metagenome
Description: bacterial LSU rRNA
Rfam family: Bacterial large subunit ribosomal RNA
Source: RNAcentral
GACGCGAAGCCGGGUGAGCUAUCCAUGGGCAGGCUGAAGCGGGGGUAAGACCCCGUGGAGGGCCGAACCCACUUCGGUUGAAAACGGAGGGGAUGACCCGUGGAUAGGGGUGAAAGGCCAAUCAAACCCGGAGAUAUCUCGUUCUCCCCGAAAUAGCUUUAGGGCUAGCCUCGGGCGUUAAAUGGCGGAGGUAGAGCACUGGACCGGCGAGGGGGCCUCACCGCCUACCGACCCAGACCAAACUCCGAAUGCCGCCAUUCGAAAGCCCGGGAGUCAGAGCAUGUGGGCUAAGCUGUGUGCUCGAGAGGGAAACAGCCCAGACCGCCCGCUAAGGCCCCCAAGUCCGUGCUGAGUGGCAAAGGAUGUGCGUUUGCCUAGACAACCAGGAUGUUGGCUUAGAAGCAGCCAUGCAUUUAAAGAGUGCGUAACAGCUCACUGGUCGAGUGGACAUGCGCCGACAAUUCACGGGGCUAAGCACGGCGCCGAAGCGGCGGACCGUAACAUAUACGAUGGUAGGGGAGCUUUCCGCGCAGGGCGGAAGCCGGAGGGGCGACCCCCGGUGGACCGCGCGGAAGUGAGGAUGCAGGCAUGAGUAGCGAGAGCAGGGCGAGAAACCCUGCCGCCGCAAGCCUAAGGUUUCCUGGGCGAGGCUAAUCCCCCCAGGGUCAGUCGGGAGCUAAGGCGAGGCCGGGAGGCGUAGCCGAUGCGCAACGGGCGGACAUUCCCGUACCGCCGGGGCGGCGCUUACGACCGAUGGGGCGACGGAGAAGGGUAGCCGGGCGGGGUUCUGGACGUCCCCGUGAAAGCGCGUAGGGCGCGAGGCAGGCAGGGCCCGAGACGCGAGACGAAGCUUCGGGCGAAGCCGGCGAUCCCACGCUUCCGAGAAAAACCCCUAGGCAGGCGCCCCGGCGCCCGUACCAAAACCGACACAGGUGGGCGGGUAGAACAUACCGAGGCGAUCGGGUGAACCAUGGUCAAGGAACUCGGCAUAAUGGCCCCGUAACUUAGGGAGAAGGGGCGCCCCCCGCGGUGAAGGAGCGAGCCUCCGGAGCGGCGGGGGGCCGCAGCGAAACGGCCCAAGCGACUGUUUAUCAAAAACACAGGACUCUGCCAAGCCGCAAGGCGACGUAUAGGGUCUGACGCCUGCCCGGUGCCGGAAGGUCACGGGGAACCGUCAGCCGAAAGGCGAAGCGGCGAACCUAAGCCCCGGUAAACGGCGGCCGUAACUAUAACGGUCCUAAGGUAGCGAAAUUCCUUGUCGGGUAAGUUCCGACCUGCACGAACGGCGUAACGAUUUGGGCGCUGUCUCGACCAUGGACCCGGCGAAAUUGCACUAUUCGUGAAGAUGCGAAUUACCCGCGGAAGGACGGAAAGACCCCGUGAACCUUUACUGCAGCUUGGCAUUGGCCGACGGCGCGUCGCGUAGAGGAUAGGCAGGAGCCCGCGAAGCGGGGGCGCAAGCCCCCGUGGAGGCGACCUUGGAAUACUGCCCCCGGCGCGUCGGCGGCCUAACCCCGACCCGUGCAACCGGGCGGGGGACCGUGCCAGGCGGGUAGUUUGACUGGGGCGGUCGCCUCCCAAAGAGUAACGGAGGCGCGCGCAAGGUUGGCUCAGGGCGGUCGGCAAUCGCCCGCAGAGCGCAAGAGUGCAAGCCAGCCUGACUGCGAGGCCCACAAGCCGAGCAGGGACGAAAGUCGGCUCUAGUGAUCCGGCGGCCCAGAGUGGAAUGGCCGUCGCUCAACGGAUAAAAGGUACUCCGGGGAUAACAGGCUGAUCUUGCCCAAGAGUCCACAUCGACGGCAAGGUUUGGCACCUCGAUGUCGGCUCAUCGCAUCCUGGGGCUGAAGUCGGUCCCAAGGGUACGGCUGUUCGCCGUUUAAAGCGGUACGCGAGCUGGGUUCAGAACGUCGUGAGACAGUUCGGUCCCUAUCCUCCGUGGGCGCAGGAGAAUUGAGGAGGUCUACCCCUAGUACGAGAGGACCGGGGCGGACGGGCCUCAGGUGUCCCGGUUGUCGACCAACGGCACGGCCGGCUAGCCACGCCCGGAACGGAUAACCGCUGAAAGCAUCUAAGCGGGAAGCCGUCUCCGAGAUGAGUUCUCCCUCCGGUAAGGGCCCUCGUAGACCACGAGGUCGAUAGGCCGCAGCUGCAAGCGCCGCGAGGCGUUCAGGCGAGCGGUACUAAUAGCCCGAGCUCUUGCUUCC